UGAACAAUCCUUUGUAACAAAUUGAUCCAUGUCAGUGACGCAUCAUCUACUAGAACUAAAGAGUUCAAUAUAAAAGAUAUGGCUGAGUUGCCUAAAACACAAGAAACUCUAAAACAACAAUGAGAAAUCUCUGAAAAUUUCUCAAGUAUUUGUUAUUAUACACAACAGUUAAGCAAACUUAAAACCACAUCUGUAAAUGAUUUAAUUGAAUCCCCACAGGUAAAUAAUUUCCAAGACCCUAUGUUUUCCUCUCUCCCAACCAUUCUAUAUUAGCUCAGUUUCUUCCAAAAUUACAUACAUUUGACCUUUUGUCAUAAGCUCUUCUCAUUCUCCCCAACCACAAUCUAGUAUUGAUCCCUUUUAAAAUCCGGCGACCAUCAAGAGGAAGUGUUGAGCCACCGAGAUUGCGUUAACUCAUUCGACUGGUGAGAGGAGAGAGAGCAUAUCAUUGCUUGUUGUGCACCUUAAAUCCAAAGAUUUUAGGAACGUAGCUUUGAGUCGGUUUCUGAGGCUUCAAGUUCCCAUAAGCCAUGAGAAACAAAUGUGGGAAAGUAGUCCCAAAGUAAGCUCCAUCAAUGUCUGCAAUAACCAUCAAGGAAACAAAAAAAGCUAUCAACUGCCCCAAAAGGAAGUAGCUAUUGGCUAAAGCCUAAAGCCUAGGAACUAGACCAUCUGAAACUAAUCUACGGUUGAGAUCAUUUAGUAUAAUAAAUCAACGGCUGUCGAAAAAAACAGAAUUUAAUUCCCCUGCAACCUUAAGACCUUGUUAAACGCCACGUAUCACAAACUCUCAGCGAGAUUCUCUAUACGUGUCUUCGAAAAGGUGAGAAAAACAGGAUACAAGAGCAGCUGUCAUGGGCCCGAGAGACAAAAACGUCGAUUACUGGGCCCGGAAAGGUCAUUGUGGGUCCCACGUGUAAUUAUAAAAGGGUUUUUGUCCAGUCAGCUCCUCGUUUGAUAUUCUCGAACUCUAGUGGAUGUAUUCCCCCACUCGAAGGCCUUGUUGUAUCGACGACAGAUGACAAGUUGCGUGGUCAUGAGCCACUUUCUUUUUUGGACCUUUAUUAAUAAUUGAUCACAGAACAACAUCAUUUUUCAUAUGUAUUAAUACACGUUCUUGUUGUAUAUAAUGGUUUGCCGUUCGUAAUGUGAGUCAUUGCUUACUCAGAAACGAUGAACAAUUGACGUGAUCUUCAUUUAAAUAAUUAAUAAAAAACAAGACUAGUACGUAUGAUAGUCAUAUUAGUGUUAAAUUCCAACUAGGAAAGAUUAUAUUAUGCUUUUGAAACUAAGUCGGUUCUGAUUUUUAUAUAGAAACUCCACCUAUGCGACACGUCACACACGUAUGUGUACGCAAUUAAAAAUGAUACACUAUCAAAUUUACACUGAAUAAAAUAGGCCGGUCACGCUCUUGCUCGUUCAUUGAAGCGUUCUGCAGCGUAUAUUUUAUGUCUUUGAUAUCCGAAUUAGAAGUACAUGCAUGUUCUUAGAGCAUUUAGGCUAUGUAGAUCGUAUUGAAACGUAUUUUAAUUUUGAAUGUGGCUUGUGCCAAGACUAUUCUACGAUAUUGUCAGCCAAAGGGAUUCGGAAUAAAUAUUUUGUGUGUUUAUAUGUAUAAAAAAAUAAAUUAGUACGUAGAUGAAAAGAUAUUUAAUUUCCUCCAACAGUUUCUUUGGAUUUGGUUACAUUGAUCUUAAUACGUGUACCAAGAUGUUUUGUUUCAUCACAAAACAAAAUAAAAACUAUUCACUGAUCAAUAUUAGUAUACUAUAGUAGUAAAAAGAACGUACUUGAUGAAAUAUUUGAUUAAGUACAAGCUGUACAAUAAGUAAACAAAUGAGAGGUGAUUAUAAAUUUACACACGCAUGGAAUGAAACAUUGUCCAGGGGAGAUGAAUCCUAAAAUUCAGAGCGCAGAAAGUACAAACAAGAACAGUUUAAAAAUUACAAAUCAUUAAAGUACAAAAUAUCAGUAAUAUAAAAUGUAUUAACUUAGAAACUUUCAUUAAAUGUUAAAUUUAUAUUUAGGAAAGUCCAUCAAUCAUGCGUUAUGCAUGUUAUCGUGGCCAGCGAAUCUCACAAACGCAAGACUUGUUUGAUUCCCCUCGUCGAACCAGAUCCACCCAAAUUAUUUUAAUGCAAAAUAAAAACUAAUUUAUAUGCUCUUCUUUUUAAAAAAAAUUAUAUGUUCUUCUUCAAUGCUCAAAGAUACAAAGCAAACUACUUACUCAAUUUGUUAAAAAAACAUAUUUUCACAUUAAUAUUUAUAAAUGUAUAAUUUUUAUUAGCUGUUUCAUUAUUUUAAACGAAUAGUAAUUCGAUGAAUUAGUAGUUUAAUAUUUACCAGACACAAAAAGACACUGAUAGUAAAACAAAAAAUAAAAUAAAAUAAUGAAUUAUUGAACUUUAACGAGUAGAUGGAGCAAAGGAAAGAAAGAACGGUGAAGAUGUCUUGUAGACUACAGUAACUAUAGUGGUGCGUGAAACAGGUGAUUCGCUCAAGCUAACCAUAAAGUCCCAAAGCUGUCUUUAUAUACGGACACCAAAUCAACCAGCUUCCUCCUCCUCCUUCCUCUUUCUCCUAUCUGAGCUGAAUCUUGAAUUUGAUUCUGCAGUCCACUCUCUUCCUUUUAUUCCAAAGCUUUCGUUCUUUUUUUAUAGUAUAAGCAAUGGCUUCGUAUUACUCUGCGUUUUUCGGCAGUGAAGAGCCACACUUUCUGGAAUCAUGCUCUCUUUGCAGUAAACACCUUGGUCCUAACUCCGACAUCUUCAUGUACAGGUACUUAAUCCGUUCAUACCUAAUAAACUUCCUGGAUCUGGGUUUUGAAAAGUCAUUUCUUUUAUUGAUAUUCAGAUCUUUUCUUGUUUUUUUUUUUAAACAGAGGAGACACGGCGUUUUGUAGCAAUGAGUGUAGAGAAGAACAGAUUGAAUCUGAUGAAGCCAAGGAGAGACGCUGGAAACUUUCUGCUAGAUCUCUCCGUAAAAAAUCUUCUGAAGCUGCAAAGGAUUCAGCCGCCGGAAAAAACGUACGGACAGGAACACUCGUGGUCGCGUAGUGGAAUUUGUAUUACAAUAAGAAAACCAAAGCAUGUAGCUUUUGUGUAUACCCUUUUUGUCUAAAAGCUAUAUAUAUAUAUAUUAAAUAUUACUCUCUUUUAAGAAAUUUUGCUCUGUUUCUAUCUAUCUUGCUCUUGAUCGGGGUCAGAGAAGUUGUAAGAUCCUGUUAUGUGGAGUUUAGGGGAAGGAGAUAGAGAGAUGGCUCUGUGUUGAUCUCUGGGGGGUUUAAAUUUUGAUCAAAUGUUACAAUUAAAAAAAAACAGAGCAGAGCAUAAUCUAUUUAUGUUCUAAAUUCAAUUUCUUAUCUUCCUCAUCUUUCCAAUUUUAUUCAAACUUCUGCUGUUAAGAUGAGAGUUUUUAAUUGCAUCUGCAGUCAGUUACAACUUUUUUACGAUCAUGGUAACUACACAAAGUUCUGAUUGUUCAUUGCGUUGUGCAUUUCUCCGGCGGAGAAAUAACUACAUUUGGGCCCAUAAUAGGCUUUAAAGGAGCCCAUAUAUGCCAACCCAUUGACGCUUCCUUUUUGUGGAAAUAAGGUCAUACAUAAUCAGAACUAGCCUGGCAUUCGGUUCUAAAGGGGUUUCGGUGGUCCGUUCUAGUAUUUAAAAUUUUGGUUUGAUUCGUUUAUUUUAGUUUUAUAUUCCGUUCAAGUACUAAAGUUGGAAACGGCUAAUAUCCAAGGUAAUUUCGAAUUCUAUUGGGUUCCGUUUUUUGGUUAAUUUUUGGGGUUUCAGAUAAAAAUUUGGAUAAUUCAGAUAAUUAUAAUUAUUUGGAUAAAACAUAUUUUGGGCAAUUCUUGUUUUUCUCGAUUCUGUUCUUUAGUCCGAAUAAGAGAUCAAUGUGUCCAUGCCUAAUCAGAAGUCAGAACUAACGGAUCAUCAGGUAUUCAUAUUUGUAAGAUAGGCCGAGUUAUAGUACCUGGUCAUUUAGAGCCCCAAGACUCUCAGCACAUAGGCUUCUGGUUCCUAGCUUCGCCUUUGCUCUUUAACUUAAAAAAUGUGUGGAGAUAUGCUUUUGUUGAGUGUUCCAUGUUUCGAGUAUAGAUUUAAAGAAUCAAACCUAUUGCAAUGCUAAGAAAAUCGUAGCUAAUAAUAUCUAAGCCUGGGCAAAGAAAAUUUGUUGAAUUUUGGUUUUUUAUUCCCCUGCGUCAACAACUUGGCAGUAUACUACAAGACUACACGAUUCAUGAUGUACACUUAGGAGACUAUGUGAACAAUCCUUUGUAACAAAUUGAUCCAUGUCAGUGACGCAUCAUCUACUAGAACUAAAGAGUUCAAUAUAAAAGAUAUGGCUGAGUUGCCUAAAACACAAGAAACUCUAAAACAACAAUGAGAAAUCUCUGAAAAUUUCUCAAGUAUUUGUUAUUAUACACAACAGUUAAGCAAACUUAAAACCACAUCUGUAAAUGAUUUAAUUGAAUCCCCACAGGUAAAUAAUUUCCAAGACCCUAUGUUUUCCUCUCUCCCAACCAUUCUAUAUUAGCUCAGUUUCUUCCAAAAUUACAUACAUUUGACCUUUUGUCAUAAGCUCUUCUCAUUCUCCCCAACCACAAUCUAGUAUUGAUCCCUUUUAAAAUCCGGCGACCAUCAAGAGGAAGUGUUGAGCCAC
Molecule: long non-coding RNA, 4665 nt
Filed under: Brassica napus (rape)
Lineage: Eukaryota; Viridiplantae; Streptophyta; Magnoliopsida; Brassicales; Brassicaceae
Description: long non-coding RNA (BNAP_LNC002316)
Source: RNAcentral